Molecule: transfer RNA, 84 nt
Filed under: SAR324 cluster bacterium
Lineage: Bacteria; Deltaproteobacteria
Description: tRNA-Leu
Rfam family: tRNA
About the family: Transfer RNA (tRNA) molecules are approximately 80 nucleotides in length.
Source: RNAcentral
GCCGAAGUGGCGGAAUUGGUAGACGCGCUAGGUUCAGGACCUAGUAUCCGCAAGGAUGUGGGUGUUCGAGUCACCUCUUCGGCA